RNAcentral lists this ribosomal RNA (494 nucleotides) under Bacillus sp. oral taxon B77. RNAcentral's name for it is "bacterial SSU rRNA". It matches the Rfam family "Bacterial small subunit ribosomal RNA", at positions 28 to 494 of the family's 1533-position model. Lineage: Bacteria; Bacillati; Bacillota; Bacilli; Caryophanales; Bacillaceae. The record is from RNAcentral.
GACGAACGCUGGCGGCGUGCCUAAUACAUGCAAGUCGAGCGCAGGAAGUCAUCCGAACCCUUCGGGGGGACGUUGACGGAAUGAGCGGCGGACGGGUGAGUAACACGUAAAGAACCUGCCCUCAGGUCUGGGAUAACCACGAGAAAUCGGGGCUAAUACCGGAUGGGUCAUCGGACCGCAUGGUCCGAGGAUGAAAGGCGCUUCGGCGUCGCCUGGGGAUGGCUUUGCGGUGCAUUAGCUAGUUGGUGGGGUAAUGGCCCACCAAGGCGACGAUGCAUAGCCGACCUGAGAGGGUGAUCGGCCACACUGGGACUGAGACACGGCCCAGACUCCUACGGGAGGCAGCGGUAGGGAAUCUUCCACAAUGGACGAAAGUCUGAUGGAGCAACGUCCGCGUGAACGAUGAAGGCCCUCGGGUCGUAAAGUUCUGUUGUAAGGGAAGAACAAGUGCCGCAGGCAAUGGCGGCACCUUGAUCGUACCUGCGAGAAGCCAC